GAUGAACGCUGGCGGCGUGCUUAACACAUGCAAGUCGAACGAUUGAAGCUGGAGCUUGCUCCGGCUGAUUUAGUGGCGGACGGGUGAGUAACGCGUGGGUAACCUGCCUCAUACAGGGGGAUAGCAGUUGGAAACGACUGGUAAAACCGCAUAAGCGCACGGUGUCGCAUGACACAGUGUGAAAACACUCCGGUGGUAUGAGAUGGACCCGCGUCUGAUUAGCUAGUUGGUGAGGUAACGGCCCACCAAGGCGACGAUCAGUAGCCGGCCUGAGAGGGUGAACGGCCACAUUGGGACUGAGACACGGCCCAAACUCCUACGGGAGGCAGCAGUGGGGAAUAUUGCACAAUGGGGGAAACCCUGAUGCAGCGACGCCGCGUGAGUGAUGAAGUAUUUCGGUAUGUAAAGCUCUAUCAGCAGGGAAGAUAAUGACGGUACCUGACUAAGAAGCAC
RNAcentral lists this ribosomal RNA (453 nucleotides) under uncultured bacterium. RNAcentral's name for it is "bacterial SSU rRNA". It matches the Rfam family "Bacterial small subunit ribosomal RNA", at positions 28 to 493 of the family's 1533-position model. The record is from RNAcentral.